Clohesyomyces aquaticus is the source of this 87-nucleotide transfer RNA. It matches the Rfam family "tRNA". From Rfam's summary of the family: Transfer RNA (tRNA) molecules are approximately 80 nucleotides in length. Their secondary structure includes four short double-helical elements and three loops (D, anti-codon, and T loops). NCBI's taxonomy places the organism in Eukaryota, Fungi, Ascomycota, Dothideomycetes, Pleosporales, Lindgomycetaceae. The record is from Rfam.
CUCCGCUUGGUGUAGUUGGUUUAUCACGUUCGACUGUAAUAGCAUAUUGUUAUCGAAAGGUCCCUAGUUCGAUUCUGGGAGCGGAGA